CAAGCCAGCGGAGGGAGCAGAGACAAAGCAUGCUGACGGAGGAAGUGAAGUGUGCUCUGCAGCAUGUGGACCAUGUGCUCAGGUAAGAACAACUCCAACUCCUUUCUGUCCUUGUACACGUCUGUUUCUCUCUGCCACUCUAUUUCUCUAUGUCUGUUUCUCUGUCCCUGUCUCUCUCUAUCUAUCUGCAUCUCUGUGCCCCAUGGGUGCCAUUAGAAAGCAGAUAACUGCCGAGUGUCGAGCCCGCGGAAGGUGUCUGCAACCCUGGGCUCUCUGCUGCACAGCUGUCGGUGUUUGGAGCAGCAAGGACCGGAGGAAGGAGCCUCGACUCUGGAAACAGACAACCACAAAAAGCAGAGGACGCGGUGGAGACAUCCUUCUACAGACCAGGAAAUGGCUUCCCUCUCUCUGGUUGGACUGUUCCGCAGAUCCGGCCGAACCAAUCAGACCCUCCAGAUCUGGCCCGGCGGAACGUUGGAGCUGAGUAUCUGAUUGGCCGAUGCUCUGAUGGUCUGAUUGUGCUGAAAGAGGACCAGUUGGUGAGAGUGCUGUAGACUAAGGGUUGGUUAUGGAUAUUGUUCAUCUCUCAUGUGAAUUGAAUUUAGUGGAAAAGCAACCUGUGGCUCUGAACUAUGGAUGAAAAGUGGAGAAAUAGAAAUCAUACUGCCUUGUCUUGGCCUCCAAGCUGAUGAUAAGUAAUAACGAACAUGGCCUGUCCUCCCAACACACACACCCACAAACACACCCAACUUACACAUCCUACACACACCCACACACACAUGCCCACAUACUGUAUACUUCAGUAAACGCCAACACCCACACACAUCCACACAUACAUAAUACCCAACUGCCACCCAAUAAACACACACACACAUACACACACACAGUGAUGGUCGCCCCCUGCUUUGAGGCCAGGCAGGGUAAUGAUUAAGUUCCUCUUGGCUCCUCUUACUGUGUGUCUGUGUGUGUGUGCCUGCCUGCGUGCUUGCGUGCGUGCGUGGAUGUGGUCAGGCCCAGUCAUCUCCCAGGCAGCUAGGAGGAAACCCACAUCAACUGAAACACACUCCAGGAAUAGGCUUACGCUUAUAUAUACACACACACACAGCGCUGGUGUCAACCCUUCUUUAUCUCUCUUCACAAUGUUUUAUAUUGUGUUCUAUAUAAACUCAUGUGACUAUUACAGCUUGUAUUUGGAUGCUUGCUGGCUUGAAGUGUUGUAGAUUUUCUAACCUACUGUAUCUAAAAAUCAAAUGGUAUUUUGCUUUUGUCAGUGGAGUUUGGACUAGUGUACAUCAGUGUGAACAGAAAAGGAUCCACUCCAAUGGCUGUAUGGUGUGUGAUUGUGCUUCCAUUGACCUUGUCCUGCUGAGUAAGACUACAGAUGUAGGAUCUUAAUUUGAUCACUCUUUUGUUGCUGAGAAUUUCCCUGCACAGCAGGAGAUGCAAACUUGUAAUGUGUUUGAGUUUAAAAAAAGCCUUCUAAAGAUUGUCUUUUCCACUUUGACAUUUCAGAUGUGAUUUACCCUAACAAAAAAUGUUUCAAACCCUAUAAAAUGUCCAUGAAUUAUAAUCCACAUAGUAAUUCACAUGUCCUGUUGCUGCAUGGUUAUUGUCCUGCGGUAGCAAACUGGCUCAAGUGAAGAUCCUACAUCUGUAGUGUCCCUCUCAACCGUAAGGCUUUGAGCUUCACUGGAAACAACUGAGCCAUUUACAUACACUUGACCACUUCUGAUAGGCCACAAUGGCAGCAUCACAUGGGUGCACGCCCACACGCCCACACACACAGCAUUAUCAAAGGAUGGAAAGAAGCAGAUAAGAUAGAAGGAUCGAGAGUGGAACAUACCCUAUCACCGUAUCACUGAUCAUGUAAACUAAGUCUAACUGGUUUAGGUCUGUUACCAUUACACACACAAACGCAGUCACACAAUACUCACGCUUUAAUGUUUUCACUGGGUUUGCAGUAUACUCCAGCUUUGCUAAUCUCGGUUAACCCAGAACUAAAUUCUCACGUAGUUGGUAAGCUGCUCGAUUAAGUUCUGGAUCCGUACGUGUUAAGAGAAGAGAGGAAGAGAUACUAGAACGAGGAGCGGAACCGGAACGAGGAGCUCCACCCUCUCUUUUUGACAGUUACAGGCCAAAUGUCCCCUCCCUUUCCGAAACUCGAAAGAUGCUAACAACUGCGAAAUCAUGAUUUGUUCGAAUAACCAAUGAUGAAAAAAAAACAAAAACACUGGAACUAAUGCUGCUCGUUAUCCCACACAUCCCAUUCCUUCCCCACAGAUUCUAACGUACCAGUUAUGUAGAUCUGUCCACGAGAGACUGACACUGUAAGUCUUGAUCAAGUUAUGAUCAGAAGGGAAACAUGAACCCCUGUCGCUGACUUGUUGCAUUGUGUGUGUUAUAGGUGUCCUGAGUGGACCAAGCCGCGGUCACCAGGGUGACCAUGCUCACCACAGCACUGUGCUGUCAGCCGCCCUGCUGACCUUUCAACUACCACCAGACAUCAGCUGUUCUAAUUCUAACAUCUGUCUACAGGUAAGACUGAACUUCAGCCCUCCGAAGUCCUAUUCCUCAGCCAAUCAGCAAGCUCUCUGGGGACUGGGCAUGCUCAGUAGCAGGGUCAGGGUUAAAAUAGUGUUCUCUUCCUGAAUUAAAAAAGAACUGAGCAUAAUUAAAAUGACUCAAAUUGACCCCAGCCCUGCUUUGUAGCUCAGUGGUGCCUCCUGCUUGCUCGCGCAAGUCAUGGAUUGAUUGAUUGGCAACAGUUGUGUUUAGCCCUCCUCUUUCAUUCCCUUCUCUCUCUCUCUCUCUCUCUCUCUCUCUCUCUCUCUCUCUCUCUCGCUCUCGCUCUCGCUCUCUCUCUGUGGAAUGUACCGGGUCCUUCUCAAUUCAUUCAUGUGGAUCCAGGAAGCGCAUUCCUCCCCACAGCCCCAGGCCAUGCUCCACCACCCUACCACACAUACAGUACACAGUCCACUGCCCAGUAGUCACUAUUGGCCAUGCUAAAAAGUACAGAAGUGACAAUAUCAUCCGAAGUUUGGCUCGUCCCAUUGCCUAGUUGAUCUAGUGAUCUCACUGCCACCACCUCCGACUGAUGUGGCACUACUUUCCUCUCUACAGCAGUCAUCACCAAUGUCAGCCCUGCAUCACAUACUCAACCCACUCAACAACUCUCUCUGUCUCUCUCUGUCUCUCAGUCAACACUGCAACUCCUACGUCAGUCUUGACAUGGGACUCAAACUCACUGAACUCAUUGAACUCUCAACAAUAAUGUCAUCACCAGCCAAAACACUCCAAGAGCACACAAUUCUAGAAGGAGAAAGGGCCCUAGUUUUGGGCCACAAAGAUUGCUAGAAUCAAAAAUAGAGAGAGAGAGAGAGAGAGAGAGAGAGAGAGCUAGUUGAGUAGAGUACUAGACUGCUAUGUUUGAUCAAUAUGGUCAUGCGGCUUCAGGUAUGCAGAGGCAAAACUGGACAGAGGACAAGAGGGAGAGCCCAGCAUACAUACCCCUCCAUCCUCCAUGUGUCCAUUCCUCCCCUAGAUUCCCCUCUUUCCUCCCUCUUUUCGCACAGUAUGCAUCCUUCCAUCUCUCCCUCUCCAUGUUCUGAUCUGCCUCUCCAUUUGUUCAUCCAUCUCUCAAUAUCUCUCUCCUCUUUACUCUCCUUCACUCUAUUCCUUCCCAUGUCCUCUCCUCUUCUUUCCUCCCUCCCCCACUUCGAUUAGGUGGUUGAGUUUUCCCUGGAGGGAAUUAUGUAUGAUAUUACGGUAAAUAACUGCCAUGAUAAUCUCAUACAGAUUUGUCCACAUAUGACUUAUUUUGUAUGGUACUCGUGGAGGGUAAGCUGAUCCUAGAUCAGUAUUAAAGUUUGUAUCUAAUGGUUCAGGUUAGGAUUUGGAGAGGGUAAGCUGAUCCUAGAUCAGUAGUAAAGUUUGUAUCUAAUGGUUCAGGUUAGGAGUUGGAGAGGGUAAGCUGAUCCUAGAUCAGUAGUAAAGUUUGUAUCUAAUGGUUCAGGUUAGGAUUUGGAGAGGGUAAGCUGAUCAGUGCCUAGAGCAAAGUGCCUAAAGGAAACUUCUCCCUAAAAGAGAAUGCAAGUGUGGCAUCAGAGUCACUGUGGAGCUGACAUGACAGUGGCUGCUGCCUCCAGUUGCCCCAGGCCUAAUGGGAAAGAAUGUCAGGAAUCUGAAACUGAUAAUGCCAUGCUUAGAGAUAACUAUAGAGAGAUCAUUCCCAUAUCCUUCCCUCCCCUCACCCCAUCUUCUCUGUCUGUUCUGUCUCUCCCUCGUCACCCUUCUCCUCUUCCUUCCCCCCUCCCCUCUCCUCUCACCCCACCCUCUCUCUGUCUCUCACCCCAUUCCCUCUCCUUGUUUCUUCUCCUCCCUCCCCCUUCCUUCUCCUCUCUCUUAAUAGCUGCAGUCAAUGUUGCCUUAUUGAUUCCUUACCCAAUAAUGACCAUCUCUUUCUCCCACUUUCUCUCUUUCUCUCUCUAACCAGAAUGGACCCAAUGAUCAUAUGAGGAUGAAGACCAUGAUGAAGGCAAUGCAAAUUCAUCAACGUGGAUCCUUUAUCUAUAUCUGCAGCCCCCCCCGCCUGUAUUUGUGUGUGGGUCAAUUGCUCAGUAGGCAGUGUAGAUCCUGUGUAAUUAUCAGCAGCUACAUCUGGCUACUGGGUCUCUGAACACACGCCACUGCCCACUUCCUACUUCCGGCCUGGUGGUACAUCCCAUUACCAACUGAUUGGCUAAUUGCACAUUCAAUUUCUCUCUGAUUGUCUAGUAUGUUAUCAUAUGGGCUGUUACAUCUCAUGACAGUACAGGAUGCUCUCUAUGCCUAUGCUUGUCAUUUCCCCCAAAAAUCUGAAUAUUUUUUUCUCUCUCUUCUCCUCUCAAUUAUUUUCUCCCUCUGCACCGUCCUUGGCGAGAACCAUUCAAACUCUUCUUGGUAUUCUUCUCUGAAUUGUGCUGUUUUCUAAAAGAGAGAAAAGAGAAUUGACGAGAGCAGAAAAAAAGCGAGCCAGAGUUGAAGGAAAUGUCAAAUGUGUCAGGCACAAUAGCACAGAGCCUUUAAGAGAGGAGAACAUUGUUUAGGAUGUGAUGCCUGCCGUUUCCAUAGAAAUAUGUCUAUAGAGAACAGGCAAGAUGAAAUGUCACAUUCUCUCUAUGAUCACUCAGUCAGAGACAGUGUGCGCGUGGGUGGGUGUGUGUGUGUGACAGCUGACGAGACAUCUUUGCUUGGUCCUGGACCUAGCAUACAAUGUAGAUUUCUGUGUGGUUUAAACUACAGCUACAUUGUCUGCUGGGUUUCAGGCUGGCAACAAAAGCAGCCUUCAACAGCUAAAUGAUUCAAUAACUCAACGAAUCAAAUCUUCGAUAACUCAACGAAUCAACUCUUCAAGAACUAAACGAUUCUACUCUUCAAGAACUCAACGAAUCAACUCUUCAAGAACUCAAUGAGGUAAGUUCACAUUCAUUCCGCCACUGUGUCAAAUGUUUCACCUUAAAAAUACAAUGAAAUGUCAUAUCUUUUAAUAAACAUCUAGAAAAGUAUAUGGUCGUGCGACUGGUUUUUCAUAUGAAAGUGUGAAGUGUUUUCAGUUUAUUUUUUUAAGUGUUAUUUUAUAGGGAAAUAUCACAUUGGGAAAAAACUAUAUUUGGCUUGACAAUGACAUCACUGGAGUAGGUAAGAGUACAAACAGAGCUGGGACCAGCUGGAGAGAAUCUAGAUGGAGUCUACAGGGGCAAUUUAUUUCUCUAGAAAUGAUUUGUAUUUAGAAUAAAUACCUGUAUAAAAUAACUCAAAGCCAGACAUAUACUGAUACUUAACAUGUCUAGCCACAGUUGUUUAAAUUUCCCGUUAUGGAAAAAACACAUUAAUUUCACAUGUGAACACGUGAUCUCAGGUGAUCAUGUGAUUUAAUGUGAAGCUAAUGACACUAUACGUUACAACAUUUGAGCACGUGAAAGCCCAGGUGUCAAAUUUUAUUUAAAAUAUUUUACUUUAAAAGGCAUAAUUUACAUUAUUACAUUUAAACAGUCAUGGUUCCCUGCAGGUUUUAUAUAGCUCCCGGUUUGUUCCAGGGACGUCCCCAAGGACGCUUUUAGGACGUUCUCUGAACAUUGUGUUAUGGUCCGGUGGAGUUUUUUUUCUAGCUGCUGUAAAAAUACAAAAAGUUCCGUGUUUUUACAGCAGAAUUAAGGUAUUAAUGGACAGUAUACUGCUAUAUACUGAUUACUUGGGACUCAACCUCCCUUGGGAUUUAUACUCUCAACCUCUUGGCUGCUAGCCACCUGAAGUUUCUGCUGCUCCACCAGGUCUGUGGACACAAUGGAGAUUCACAAUAUAUUUAUUGCCAAGAAUAGAUUUCUUGCAGUAAAAAUAAAGUAAAAAUGUACAGCAACUUUAAGGUGUUAUUUUUAUAAAAUGACAUUAUGCUGCUGUAUUCUGAUUUCAGUUACUGUAAAAUUGUCUGUAAUUUUGUACUGUGACCACAAUUGUGACUCAGCUUUAAAGAUGCACAAUGCAGAAAUCGCUCCACAAUUUCCUGGUUGCUAAAAUUCUAAUAGUUCGCCUGAUUUCAGUUUAUGUGACAUAACAAGCAAGUAUAGUGUAGAGAAUCGUUGUACCAUCCAAACGCUGUGAAAUAUAUUUUCCAUAACCCAAAAUAAUGUGUUUGAAGCUGGUGUACAAAACCAAAAGACGCAAGAACAAAAACUAAGAACGGGAAGCAUAGAAAUAGAUCUACCGCUUCUUAGACUUGCUUUCAAUGAAAAUGACAGACCUAUAACACACAUUUCUAUGUGAAUUUGGUCAAGUCGCCCCCAAAAUUAUAUAUUGCAACUGAAAUGGGAUUUGAGCUCAUAAACUCUUGGUCGUUAGCAGCCUGAAAUGUCUUGCUACAGUGCAGCUACACCACCAGAUCUGUGAGCGUGAAAGAGAUACUGUAUGAUCACAGACAUUGGCAAGAAUGCAUUUCUGCACUUUACUGAAAGCUGCACAGAACCAAGUAAAUAAUGUCCAAUUAUCACCACCAACAUAGCAGUCCUCAAGGACACAUAACAUAGAGUAUACAUUUACGCCUUUGGGAUUUGAACUUGCAACUUCUUGGUUGGGGCGCAGUUAAUGUUUCUGCAAUGCCACUAAGUUUAUACUUAUUGCUUGGAACAUACAAUAUAUUAACACACUCUCAAAAAAUAAGGGUAUGGCUAGGGUACACUACAAUGUUGUUUCCUGGGUUACAAAAAGGUCAAAGGUACACUUCACUGGUACAUACACUACAUGACCAAAAGUAUGUGGACACCUGCUAGCCAAACAUCUCAUUCCAAAACCAUGGCCAUUAAAAUGGAGUUGGUCCCCCCUUUGUUGCUAUAACAGCCUCCACUCUUCUGGGAAGGCUUUCCACUAGAUGUUGGAACAUUGCUGCGGGGACUUGCUUUCAUUUAGCCACAAGAGCAUUAGUGAGGUCGGGCACUGAUGUUUGGCGAUUAGGCCUGGAUUGCAGUCGGCGUUCCAAUUCAUCCCAAAGGGGUUCAAUGUCGUUGAGGUCAGAGCUCUAAGCAGGCCAAUCGAGUUCUUCCACACUGAUCUCAACAAACCAUUUCUGUAUGGACCUCGCUUUGUGCACGGGAGCGUUGUCAUGCUGAAACAGGAAAGGGCCUUCCCCAUACACUUGCCACAAAGUUUGAAGCACAGAAUCAUCUAGAAUGUCAAUGUAUGCUGUGGCAUAAAUAUUUCCCUUCACUGGAAUGAAGGGGCCUAGCCCAAACCAUGAAAACCAGCCCCAGAGCAUUAUUCCUCCUCCACCAAACUUUACAGCUGGCAGGUAGCGUUCUCCUGGCAACCGCCAAAUCCAUAUUCAUCCGUCAGACUGCCAGAUGGCAAAGCAUGAUUCAUCAAUCCAGAGAGCACAUUUCCACUGCUCCAGAGUCCAAUGGCAGCAAGCUUUACACCAUUCUAGCGACGCUU
This 7959-nucleotide long non-coding RNA is filed under the name Salmo salar (Atlantic salmon). Its description in RNAcentral is "lncRNA (ENSSSAG00000117018.1)". The stretch from base 4602 to 4683 matches the Rfam family "mir-221 microRNA precursor family". The record is from RNAcentral. Lineage: Eukaryota; Metazoa; Chordata; Actinopteri; Salmoniformes; Salmonidae.